Molecule: long non-coding RNA, 1054 nt
Organism: Sebastes umbrosus (honeycomb rockfish)
Lineage: Eukaryota; Metazoa; Chordata; Actinopteri; Perciformes; Sebastidae
Exons: 3
Source: RefSeq, a predicted model, not a curated record
UGAGGCAGCGGGGCUCCGCAGCGAGUAACGUUGUCGUCUCCGCCCGCAGCCGGAGUGAACAGGGGAGACACCGGUACAUUUAUACGCUUAAAAAGUAAAGGUACAAACAGUCCCUUUAAAAGUGACGCAAAUAGUGCAAUCUGCAUCCUCACCGCCAGAUGUCACUAAAACACUGGUCCCUUUAAGUCAGCUGACGACGCUAACGUUAGUUUAAUUAAAUAGCCAAAUACAAGAUGUUAAAAUCAGCAUCAAUUGGCUUUUGUCUGAAAUCAACCAUUGUUGCAAAAAUUACUCAGAAUUUUGAUGUAAAUCCAAUAAGAUUCUUUUAAUUGUAAACAUCCGUAUGGACAGCUUGACAGGCAUAGCAACAGUAACUAAGGGGGGCGUGGCUUAGCACAUCGUCAAUUGAAACUGUGCCACUUUUAGUGGUUAGCCAUAACUGUGGGUUGUGAAGCAUAUAGACUACAUAAAAAUAUAUCAUAAACAUCCUUAGAGAAUAUAGAUGUUUGUGGCACUUAUAUUUAUUAUAUAUAUUACUAUUGGUAUUACAUUAUUGUUUUUUUUUUUGUUGGGGUUAGGGGGGGGCAAUAUAUGCCUACAAUAUUUAGGAUAAGUGUGACACAGAUGGCUUUUCCAUUUAAGCCUAUGAUUGUAAAAUGGUACCUUAAAGCUUGAAGAUUUUUCUUAUUGCUGUCAGAUGCACAGCGUUUUGAUAUGUUCAAAAUCACAGAUGACCUUUUUGUGAUUCUACAAUCAACAAAAACAAACAAAUCAGAUUUUCACCUGACAGCAGUCAUUUUUAUUUGGCUCUAUUUCCUGCUGGAAAAGGGUCGCACAUUGUUAGCAAAACAGCCACCUACGCUCCCCCGAAGUCAUUCAGCCGGAGCAGGUGCAGUGAAAUUAAAGUUCCCUGAACGACGCUGUUUCACAACCAGGGGAACACAAGAAGGAAUGAUUACAUUUAGCCCUGAGGUCCUUCUAUGAGGAACAUUUCCAUUUUUCUUACUGCAAUCACAAACGUUAGAGGUCGUUGUGCAGGAUCUGAAGAGCGCCG